Molecule: ribosomal RNA, 274 nt
Filed under: uncultured bacterium
Lineage: Bacteria
Description: partial 16S ribosomal RNA
Rfam family: Bacterial small subunit ribosomal RNA
Source: RNAcentral
AUACGGAGGGUGCAAGCGUUACUCGGAAUCACUGGGCGUAAAGGACGCGUAGGCGGGUUGGAAAGUCUGAUGUGAAAUCCUACAGCUUAACUGUAGAACUGCAUUGGAAACUUCCAACCUAGAGUAUGGGAGGGGGAGAUGGAAUUAGUGGUGUAGGGGUAAAAUCCAUAGAUAUCACUAGGAAUACCGAAAGCGAAGGCGAUCUCCUGGAACAUAACUGACGCUAAGGCGUGAAAGCGUGGGGAGCAAACAGAAUUAGAAACCCUAGUAGUCC